Molecule: non-coding RNA, 389 nt
Organism: Lolium perenne
Lineage: Eukaryota; Viridiplantae; Streptophyta; Magnoliopsida; Poales; Poaceae
Source: RefSeq, a predicted model, not a curated record
UCAGAUCUGACUUUGUCGAAUUAAACCAGGAGCUUGGAAACAAAUUUUUGAAUGAAACCAAUUGGGGGGUACUUAGCUUGUGCCAUGGUGAUACCGAGAGAGGCAAUUGCUAAGUUGUGAUACUCUCAUACCUUUACUAGAUUGCGAACGAUUCCGGAGAAGAUGAAGAAGUGGAUCGGACAAGGAUUUUAUUUAUAUUGUUGGGAUUCUUACAUUGAUGGAGUUGAAGAAGUACAGGGACAAAUAAGCCAAGGCAAGCCAUCUUUUGAUCUCUGAUUCGGUGUCUAGUUGGAUGUCAUUUGUUGAUAUCCAAAGCACCUUGAUUCUAUGUGUGUUGUUCUCUUUAUUAUUGUCAUCUAUGUAUGGUUGCUAGUGGGGUACUCCCUAGU